GCCAGGUGUGGUGGCUCAUGCCUGUAAUCCCAGCGGCUGGGGAGGCUGAGGCAGGAGGAUCACGAGUUCAAAGCCAGCCUCAGCAAAAGUGAGAUGCUAAGCAACUCAGUGAGACCCUGUCUCUC
RNAcentral lists this small RNA (125 nucleotides) under Marmota monax (woodchuck). The record is from RNAcentral. Lineage: Eukaryota; Metazoa; Chordata; Mammalia; Rodentia; Sciuridae.